UACAGAGGCCUCGAGCGUUAGGCGGAAUCACUGGGCUUAAAGCGUGUGUAGGUGGAUGCCUAAGUACUUUGUGAAAUCCCACAGCUUAACUGUGGAAUUGCUUGGUAUACUGGGUGUCUUGAGCCACUCAGGGGCUACUGGAACAAACGGUGGAGCGGUGAAAUGCGUAGAUAUCGUUUGGAACGCCAAUGGUGAAAACAGGUAGCUGGGGGUGUGCUGACACUGAGACACGAAAGCCAGGGGAGCAAACAGG
Molecule: ribosomal RNA, 253 nt
Filed under: uncultured bacterium
Lineage: Bacteria
Description: partial 16S ribosomal RNA
Rfam family: Bacterial small subunit ribosomal RNA
Source: RNAcentral